GGCUGUGUAGCUCAGGGGCUAGAGCAUUGCUCUUAGAAACUGAGGGGUCAUGAGUUCAAAUCUCAUUGGGGCCU
This 74-nucleotide transfer RNA is filed under the name Pelodiscus sinensis (Chinese soft-shelled turtle). It matches the Rfam family "tRNA". From Rfam's summary of the family: Transfer RNA (tRNA) molecules are approximately 80 nucleotides in length. Lineage: Eukaryota; Metazoa; Chordata; Testudines; Trionychidae. The record is from Rfam by way of RNAcentral.